UGCCGAGCGAGGAGUCGGGCUCUCCGGAAGCCGCCGAGUGAUUAGUGCCAGCUAUUCAACAGAAAAGAACGGUGGCUUUUCUAAACCAAUUUGUGGUGCACACUGUACAGUUCCUCAACCGCUUUUCUACAGUUUGUGAGGAGACAGGGUCUCACUUUGUCACCCAGGCUGCAGUGUAGUGGAGCGAUCUUAGCUCACUGCAGCCUAGACCUCCUGCCUCAGCGCCCCAAGUAGCUGGAACUACAGAAACUGGCAGACCUUUCGCUUCGUAUCCAACAAAUUGAAACAACUCUCAAUAUUUUAGAUGCAAAGUUGUCAUCUAUCCCAGGCCUAGAUGAUGUCACAGUUGAAGUAUCUCCUUUAAAUGUCACCAGUGUCACAAAUGGAGCACAUCCUGAAGCCGCUUCAGAGCAACCACAGAACAGUACACACGACUCUGGACUACAGGAAAGUGAAGUAUCAGCAGAAAAUAUCUUAACUGUAGCCAAGGAUCCAAGAUAUGCCAGAUAUCUCAAAAUGGUUCAAGUGGGUGUACCAGUGAUGGCAAUAAGAAACAAAAUGAUAUCAGAAGGACUAGACCCAGAUCUUCUUGAGGUGAAGUAAGAACAUUUAUGAUCAUAAUAUGCAGAGCCAAAUUUCUGUUCCCCUUGAAAAUAUGAAUAUCCAGCCUGGAAAUGAUGGUAUUGCU
Molecule: small RNA, 688 nt
Filed under: Pongo abelii (Sumatran orangutan)
Lineage: Eukaryota; Metazoa; Chordata; Mammalia; Primates; Hominidae
Description: processed transcript
Source: RNAcentral